Non-coding RNA from Vicia faba (fava bean), 282 nucleotides. The record is from the annotation of a GenBank genome assembly. Lineage: Eukaryota; Viridiplantae; Streptophyta; Magnoliopsida; Fabales; Fabaceae.
AUGCCCUUUGAAUUGUGUUCUUGUCUUAAUAGAAGAUAUAUCGCAAACCUGAAUGAAGAAGAAAAAUCAUUUUAUCAUAAAGUUUGGCGAGACGAUCAAUUUUUCCUAAUAGCUCGUAUUUAUUUAACAUCUGCUUACAAAAUUAUGGAACAUAAUUACACAGUAACCUGCAAGCUCCAUGUCCAAGUGAGCCAUGUCGUACACAAUUUCAAUGUCAUGCAAUCUGCAGUAGCAUAUGAUGACAUAUCAGAGUAUAAUACACAUGCUUUAUUACAUUUGUAG